Molecule: non-coding RNA, 25 nt
Filed under: Rattus norvegicus (Norway rat)
Lineage: Eukaryota; Metazoa; Chordata; Mammalia; Rodentia; Muridae
Source: RNAcentral
AGAAUGGUUUUGGUGCAUUGUGUUC